This 693-nucleotide ribosomal RNA is filed under the name uncultured Vibrionaceae bacterium. RNAcentral's name for it is "bacterial SSU rRNA". It matches the Rfam family "Bacterial small subunit ribosomal RNA", at positions 1 to 671 of the family's 1533-position model. Lineage: Bacteria; Pseudomonadati; Pseudomonadota; Gammaproteobacteria; Vibrionales; Vibrionaceae. The record is from RNAcentral.
CGCGGGAUUAGAGUUUGAUCCUGGCUCAGAUUGAACGCUGGCGGCAGGCCUAACACAUGCAAGUCGAGCGGCAGCGACAACAAAGAUUCUUCGGAUGAUUUGUUGGGCGGCGAGCGGCGGACGGGUGAGUAAUGGCUGGGAACCUGCCCUGACGUGGGGGAUAACAGUUGGAAACGACUGAUAAUACCGCAUGAUGUCUUCGGACCAAAGAGGAGGACCUUCGGGCUUCUCGCGUCGGGAUGGGCCCAGUUGGGAUUAGCUAGUUGGUGAGGUAAUGGCUCACCAAGGCGACGAUCCCUAGCUGGUUUGAGAGGAUGAUCAGCCACACUGGAACUGAGACACGGUCCAGACUCCUACGGGAGGCGGCAGUGGGGAAUAUUGCACAAUGGGCGCAAGCCUGAUGCAGCCAUGCCGCGUGUGUGAAGAAGGCCUUCGGGUUGUAAAGCACUUUCAGCAGUGAGGAAGGGUAAUGAGUUAAUACCUCAUUAUCUUGACGUUAGCUGCAGAAGAAGCACCGGCUAACUCCGUGCCAGCAGCCGCGGUAAUACGGAGGGUGCGAGCGUUAAUCGGAAUUACUGGGCGUAAAGCGCAUGCAGGCGGUUUGUUAAGCAAGAUGUGAAAGCCCCGGGCUCAACCUGGGAACCGCAUUUUGAACUGGCAGGCUAGAGUCCUGUAGAGGGGGGUAGAAUUUCA